UGGCUCAGAACGAACGCUGGCGGCGUGGAUUAGGCAUGCAAGUCGAACGAAUCCCAGUUGGGCAACUGACUGGGGGAAGUGGCGAAAGGGGCAGUAAGGCGUGGGUAACCUACCCCGGGGAUCGGGAUAGCCGUCCUAACGGACGGGUAAUACCGGGCGAUCUGGCGAAGGGGCAUCUCUUUGCCAGGAAAUGAGUUUCGCCUCGGGAGGGGCUCACGUAGUAUUAGCUUGUUGGCGGGGUAACGGCCCACCAAGGCCAGGAUGCUUAGCGGGUGUGAGAGCACGACCCGCGCCACUGGCACUGAAACACGGGCCAGAGACCUACGGGAGGCAGCUUCGCGGAUCUU
Molecule: ribosomal RNA, 347 nt
Filed under: uncultured Planctomycetaceae bacterium
Lineage: Bacteria; Pseudomonadati; Planctomycetota; Planctomycetia; Planctomycetales; Planctomycetaceae
Description: bacterial SSU rRNA
Rfam family: Bacterial small subunit ribosomal RNA
Source: RNAcentral